GUGGGGAAUCUUCCGCAAUGGACGAAAGUCUGACGGAGCGACGCCGCGUGAGUGAAGAAGGCCUUCGGGUCGUAAAGCUCUGUCAUCAGGGACGAACGGCCGGUGGAGUGGAAAGCCACCGGAUUGACGGUACCUGAGAAGGAAGCCACGGCUAACUACGUGCCAGCAGCCGCGGUAAUACGUAGGUGGCAAGCGUUGUCCGGAAUUAUUGGGCGUAAAGCGCGCGCAGGUGGGAUCUUAAGUCCAUUUUUAAAGUUCGGAGCUCAACUCCGUGAUGGGAUGGAAGCUGGGAUUCUUGAGUACCGGAGAGGAAAGCGGAAUUCCCCGUGUAGCGGUGAAAUGCGUAGAUAUGGGGAGGAACACCAGUGGAGAAGGCGGCUUUCUGGACGGUGUCUGACACUGAGGCGCGAAAGCCAGGGGAGCGAACGGGAUUAGAAACCCCUGUAGUCC
This 450-nucleotide ribosomal RNA is filed under the name uncultured bacterium. RNAcentral describes it as "partial 16S ribosomal RNA". It matches the Rfam family "Bacterial small subunit ribosomal RNA", at positions 354 to 796 of the family's 1533-position model. The record is from RNAcentral.